RNAcentral lists this ribosomal RNA (1481 nucleotides) under human gut metagenome. RNAcentral's name for it is "bacterial LSU rRNA". It matches the Rfam family "Bacterial large subunit ribosomal RNA", at positions 906 to 2407 of the family's 2925-position model. The record is from RNAcentral.
AGCACUGAACUGACGCGGGGCCCAAAAAGGUUACCAACUCAUAUCAAACUAAGAAUGCCGUCAAGAUACCCUCGGGAGUCAGUCUGCGUGAGAUAAGUCGCGUGGACAAAAGGGAAAGAGCCCAGACCGACAGCUAAGGUCCCAAAGUACGUGUUAAGUGGAAAAGGAUGUGGGAUUUCAUAGACAACUAGGAUGUUGGCUUAGAAGCAGCCAUACAUUUAAAGAGUGCGUAAUAGCUCACUAGUCGAGAAAACCUGCGCCGAAAAUGUAACGGGGCUAAAACACGACACCGAAGCUACGGAUUCCUUACAAAGUAAGGAGUGGUAGAGGAGCAUCCUGCAAGGACGAAGCCAAAGUGAGAGCGAUGGUGGACGAAACAGGAGAGAGAAUGCCGGAAUGAGUAGCGAGAUACAUGUGAGAAACAUGUAGGCCGAAUAUCUAAGGAUUCCUGGGUAAAGCUAAUCUUCCCAGGGUUAGUCGGGGCCUAAGGCGAGGACGAAAGUCGUAGUCGAUGGAUAACAGGUUGAUAUUCCUGUACUACACAUAAUCAGAACUGUGGGGACGCAGGAGGAUAGGGAAACCGGGGAAUGGAAAGACCCGGUCAAGCGUAAAGCUGUGGGAGAUAGGCAAAUCCGUCUCCUGUAAGUGAAACGUGAUGAGGACUGAAAAAAAGUAAGGAAGUUUCCGAAUCCACACUGCCGAGAAAAGCCGCUAUUGCGUUAUGUGUACCCGUACCGUAAACCGACACAGGUAGAUGAGGAGAAAAUCCACAGGCCGACGGGAGAAGUGUUGUUAAGGAACUCGGCAAAAUGACCCCGUAACUUCGGGAUAAGGGGAGCCUCGCAAGAGGCCGCAGAAAAGAGGCACAAGCAACUGUUUAGCAAAAACAUAGGUCUAUGCGAAACCGUAAGGUGAAGUAUAUGGGCUGACGCCUGCCCGGUGCUGGAAGGUUAAAAGGAGAGGUCAGCGCAAGCGAAGCUUUGAAUUCAAGCCCCAGUAAACGGCGGCCGUAACUAUAACGGUCCUAAGGUAGCGAAAUUCCUUGUCAGGUAAGUUCUGACCCGCACGAAAGGCGUAAUGAUUUGUGCACUGUCUCGACAACACGCCCGGUGAAAUUGAAGAACCAGUGAAGAUACUGGUUACCCGCAACAGGACGGAAAGACCCCAUGGAGCUUUACUGCAGCCUGAUACUGGGAUUCGAUGAUAUAUGUACAGGAUAGGUGGGAGGCUAAGAAGCGAGAACGCUAGUUUUCGUGGAGCCGCCGGUGGGAUACCACUCUUAUGUCAUUGAAUUUCUAACCUGCAUCCGUAAUCCGGGUGAGGGACAAUGUCAGGCGGGCAGUUUGACUGGGGCGGUCGCCUCCUAAAAGGUAACGGAGGCGCUCGAAGGUCACCUCAGAAUGAUUGGAAACCAUUCAAAGAGUGUAAAGGCAAAAGGUGGCUUGACUGCGAGAGCGACGGCUCGAGCAGGUACGAAAGUA